GUGGGGAAUAUUGGACAAUGGGCGAAAGCCUGAUCCAGCCAUGCCGCGUGUGUGAAGAAGGUCUUCGGAUUGUAAAGCACUUUAAGUUGGGAGGAAGGGCAGUAAGUUAAUACCUUGCUGUUUUGACGUUACCAACAGAAUAAGCACCGGCUAACUUCGUGCCAGCAGCCGCGGUAAUACGAAGGGUGCAAGCGUUAAUCGGAAUUACUGGGCGUAAAGCGCGCGUAGGUGGUUUUGUAAGUUGGAGGUGAAAUCCCCGGGCUCAACCUGGGAACUGCUUUCAAAACUGCUGAGCUAGAGUACGGUAGAGGGUGGUGGAAUUUCCUGUGUAGCGGUGAAAUGCGUAGAUAUAGGAAGGAACACCAGUGGCGAAGGCGACCACCUGGACUGAUACUGACACUGAGGUGCGAAAGCGUGGGGAGCAAACAGGAUUAGAUACCCCAGUAGUCC
This 450-nucleotide ribosomal RNA is filed under the name uncultured bacterium. Its description in RNAcentral is "partial 16S ribosomal RNA". It matches the Rfam family "Bacterial small subunit ribosomal RNA", at positions 354 to 796 of the family's 1533-position model. The record is from RNAcentral.